This 254-nucleotide ribosomal RNA is filed under the name uncultured bacterium. Its description in RNAcentral is "partial 16S ribosomal RNA". It matches the Rfam family "Bacterial small subunit ribosomal RNA", at positions 524 to 776 of the family's 1533-position model. The record is from RNAcentral.
AACGUAGGAGACAAACGUUAUCCGGAGUUACUGGGCGUAAAGGGCGUGUAGGUGGUUUCGUAAGUCUGGCGUGAAAUUUUUCGGCUUAACCGGGAAAGGUCGUCGGAUACUGCGGAGCUAGAGGACGGUAGAGGCGUGUGGAAUUCCGGGUGUAGUGGUGAAAUGCGUAGAGAUCCGGAGGAACACCAGCGGCGAAGGCGACACGCUGGGCCGUACCUGACACUGAUGCGCGACAGCAUGGGGGAGCAAACAGG